GACGAACGCUGGCGGCGUGCUUAACACAUGCAAGUCGAACGGAAAGGCCCCUUUGGGGUUACUCGAGUGGCGAACGGGUGCGUAACACGUGAGUAACCUGCCCUUUACUUCGGGAUAACUUCAGUAAACUGGGGCUAAUACCGGAUAGGAAUCCUUGCUGCAUGGUGGGGGUUGGAAAGCUUUGGCGGUUUUGGAUGGACUCGCGGCUUAUCAGCUUGUUGGUGGGGUAGUGGCUUACCAAGGCUCUGACGGGUAGCCGGCCUGAGAGGGCGACCGGCCACAUUGGGACUGAGAUACGGCCCAGACUCCUACGGGAGGCAGCAGGGGGGAAGAUUGCACAAUGGGCGGAAGCCUGAUGCAGCAACGCCGCGUGCGGGAUGACGGCCUUCGGGUUGUAAACCGCUUUCAGCAGGGGCGAAGCUUGUGGUGACGGUACCUGCAGAAGAAGCACCGGCUAACUACGUG
RNAcentral lists this ribosomal RNA (465 nucleotides) under uncultured bacterium. RNAcentral describes it as "partial 16S ribosomal RNA". It matches the Rfam family "Bacterial small subunit ribosomal RNA", at positions 28 to 507 of the family's 1533-position model. The record is from RNAcentral.